AGUGAACGCUGGCGGUAGGCCUAACACAUGCAAGUCGAACGGCAGCACAGUAAGAGCUUGCUCUUACGGGUGGCGAGUGGCGGACGGGUGAGGAAUACAUCGGAAUCUACUUUUUCGUGGGGGAUAACGUAGGGAAACUUACGCUAAUACCGCAUACGACCUACGGGUGAAAGCAGGGGAUCUUCGGACCUUUCGCGAUUGAAUGAGCCGAUGUCGGAUUAGCUAGUUGGCGGGGUAAAGGCCCACCAAGGCGACGAUCCGUAGCUGGUCUGAGAGGAUGAUCAGCCACACUGGAACUGAGACACGGUCCAGACUCCUACGGGAGGCAGCAGUGGGGAAUAUUGGACAAUGGGCGCAAGCCUGAUCCAGCAAUACCGCGUGGGUGAAGAAGGCCUUCGGGUUGUAAAGCCCUUUUGUUGGGAAAGAAAAGCAGCAGGUUAAUACCCCGCUGUUCUGACGGUACCCAAAGAAUAAGCACCGGCUAACUUCGUG
This 492-nucleotide ribosomal RNA is filed under the name uncultured bacterium. RNAcentral describes it as "partial 16S ribosomal RNA". It matches the Rfam family "Bacterial small subunit ribosomal RNA", at positions 29 to 507 of the family's 1533-position model. The record is from RNAcentral.